GGCGAACGCUGGCGGCGUGCUUAACACAUGCAAGUCGAACGGAAAGGCCCUGCUUUUGUGGGGUGCUCGAGUGGCGAACGGGUGAGUAACACGUGAGUAACCUGCCCUUGACUUUGGGAUAACUUCAGGAAACUGGGGCUAAUACCGGGUAGGAGCUCCUGCUGCAUGGUGGGGGUUGGAAAGUUUCGGCGGUUGGGGAUGGACUCGCGGCUUAUCAGCUUGUUGGUGGGGUAGUGGCUUACCAAGGCUUUGACGGGUAGCCGGCCUGAGAGGGUGACCGGCCACAUUGGGACUGAGAUACGGCCCAGACUCCUACGGGAGGCAGCAGUGGGGAAUAUUGCACAAUGGGCGGAAGCCUGAUGCAGCAACGCCGCGUGCGGGAUGACGGCCUUCGGGUUGUAAACCGCUUUCGCCUGUGACGAAGCGUGAGUGACGGUAAUGGGUAAAGAAGCACCGGCUAACUACGUG
RNAcentral lists this ribosomal RNA (468 nucleotides) under uncultured bacterium. RNAcentral describes it as "partial 16S ribosomal RNA". It matches the Rfam family "Bacterial small subunit ribosomal RNA", at positions 28 to 507 of the family's 1533-position model. The record is from RNAcentral.